UAAAGCUUCAAACUGGGAUUAGAUACCCCACUAUUCUUGGAUAUAAAAAGGUAUAUGUAUUUACCGGAGUACUAUGGAUUGCUUACAUUUAAAACUCAAAGAGCUUGGCGGUGUUUUAGACUUUUUAGGGGAACCUGUCUCAUAAUCGACAAUCCACGUAAAACCUGACCUUUAUUUGCUCUCAGUUUGUAUACCGUCGUCGUCAGGUAACUUUUUAGAAAAAAGAAGUUAGCAACUGAGUUUACUAUAAACUCUUACGUCAGAUCAAGGUGCAGCUUAUAUAAUGGGGAGGAUGGGUUACAAUUAUAAAAGUUAUAACUACGAAAUAACAACUUUAAAUGAAGUUAUGAAGGAGGACUUAAAAGUAAAAUAGAAUAGAUAAAUAUAUUGAAUUAGGCUCUGAAACGUGCACACACCGCCCGUCACCCUCUGCAGUCAA
RNAcentral lists this ribosomal RNA (439 nucleotides) under Rapana rapiformis. RNAcentral describes it as "partial 12S ribosomal RNA". The stretch from base 66 to 439 matches the Rfam family "Microsporidia small subunit ribosomal RNA", at positions 751 to 1215 of the family's 1311-position model. The record is from RNAcentral. Lineage: Eukaryota; Metazoa; Mollusca; Gastropoda; Neogastropoda; Muricidae.